RNAcentral lists this ribosomal RNA (279 nucleotides) under uncultured bacterium. RNAcentral's name for it is "partial 16S ribosomal RNA". It matches the Rfam family "Bacterial small subunit ribosomal RNA", at positions 506 to 784 of the family's 1533-position model. The record is from RNAcentral.
UGCCAGCCGCCGCGGUAAUACGGAGGGUGCAAGCGUUGCUCGGAAUUACUGGGCGUAAAGGGCGUGUAGGCGGUCAAUCAAGUUGGAUGUGAAAUCCCUCGGCUCAACCGAGGAACCGCGUCCAAAACUGGUUGGCUUGAGGUCGGUAGGGGACAGUGGAACUCCAGGUGGAGCGGUGAAAUGCGUAGAGAUCUGGAGGAACGCCGGUGGCGAAAGCGACUGUCUGGGCCGUACCUGACGCUGAGGCGCGAAAGCCAGGGGAGCGAACGGGAUUAGAUA